RNAcentral lists this long non-coding RNA (229 nucleotides) under Pan troglodytes (chimpanzee). RNAcentral describes it as "lincRNA". The record is from RNAcentral. Lineage: Eukaryota; Metazoa; Chordata; Mammalia; Primates; Hominidae.
GAUUGUGUUUCCCGAGACCUCCCAGCCGUGCUUCCUGUACAGCCUGCAGAACUAAAAGAUCGAUAACUUGGAAACGGAGAAUGACGGCUGGACUGGGGUGAGGUCAAGAUGACACAGUGUUGUUGGGAUGACCCAGUCCGCGGGAGAGAGUGGCUGAGAGUGGCUUAGUCCACGGGAGAGAGUGGCCGAGAGCGGCUUCACCUGCAGGCUCCUGGGAGCACUGGGCAGG